This 458-nucleotide ribosomal RNA is filed under the name uncultured bacterium. RNAcentral describes it as "bacterial SSU rRNA". It matches the Rfam family "Bacterial small subunit ribosomal RNA", at positions 29 to 524 of the family's 1533-position model. The record is from RNAcentral.
AACGAACGCUGGCGGCAUGCCUAACACAUGCAAGUCGAACGGGAUCCAGGCUUCGGCCUGGUGAGAGUGGCGGACGGGUGAGUAACACGUGGGAACCUGCCUUUUGGUUCGGGAUAACCGCGGGAAACUGCGGCUAAUACCGGAUGCUCCCGAGAGGGGAAAGAUUUAUCGCCAGAAGAGGGGCCCGCGUCCGAUAGGUAGUUGGUGAGGUAAUGGCUCACCAAGCCGACGAUCGGUAGCUGGUCUGAGAGGAUGAUCAGCCACACUGGGACUGAGAUACGGCCCAGACUCCUACGGGAGGCAGCAGUGGGGAAUAUUGGACAAUGGGGCAACCCUGAUCCAGCAAUGCCGCGUGAGUGAUGAAGGCCUUAGGGUUGUAAAGCUCUUUUGCCAGGGAAGAUGAUGACUGUACCUGGAGAAUAAGCCCCGGCUAACUUCGUGCCAGCAGCCGCGGUAAU